This 206-nucleotide long non-coding RNA is filed under the name Mytilus galloprovincialis (Mediterranean mussel). The record is from RNAcentral. Lineage: Eukaryota; Metazoa; Mollusca; Bivalvia; Mytilida; Mytilidae.
UGCUUCUGCUACAUAAAUAUGGGCUGUUUUUGACAAUACAAUGUACAUAUAUCGGGUACUAGCAUCAUAAAGACAUGGUUUUAAAUUACUGAAAUCUUCAAAACUUUUGCAUUUUUGUUAAAUUUUAGACGGUUUCCGUCUUAAAUGAAAGUGGCCGCAUUUGUGUUCAUUCUUAAUAUUGAAAUGUAAGUUGUAUUUGAUGAUAA